UACGAAGGGGGCUAGCGUUGUUCGGAGUUACUGGGCGUAAAGGGCGCGUAGGCGGCGCACCAAGUCAGGCGUGAAAGCCCUGGGCUCAACCCGGGAAUUGCGCUUGAGACUGGUGUGCUUGAGUACGGGAGAGGAUAGUGGAAUUCCCAGUGUAGAGGUGAAAUUCGUAGAUAUUCGGCGGAACACCAGUGGCGAAGGCGACUCACUGGCCCGAUACUGACGCUGAGGCGCGAAAGCGUGGGGAGCAAACAGG
RNAcentral lists this ribosomal RNA (253 nucleotides) under uncultured bacterium. Its description in RNAcentral is "partial 16S ribosomal RNA". It matches the Rfam family "Bacterial small subunit ribosomal RNA", at positions 524 to 776 of the family's 1533-position model. The record is from RNAcentral.